This 420-nucleotide ribosomal RNA is filed under the name uncultured bacterium. RNAcentral's name for it is "bacterial SSU rRNA". It matches the Rfam family "Bacterial small subunit ribosomal RNA", at positions 355 to 774 of the family's 1533-position model. The record is from RNAcentral.
UAAGGAAUAUUGCUCAAUGGGAGAAAUCCUGAAGCAGCAACGCCGCGUGGAGGAUGAAGGGUCUAUGACUUGUAAACUCCUGUAAAGAAGGAAAAAAUUCCCAUUAGAUGGGAGAUGAUGGUACUUCUGGAGUAAGCCCCGGCUAACUACGUGCCAGCAGCCGCGGUAAUACGUAGGGGGCAAGCGUUGUCCGGAUUUACUGGGUGUAAAGGGUGCUCAGGCGGAUUUGUAAGUCAGAGGUGAAAUCUUACAGCUUUACUGUGAAACUGCCUUUGAUACUGCAAGCCUAGAGUAUGGAAGAGAGUGAUGGAAUAUCUGGUGUAGCAGUGAAAUGCGUAGAUAUCAGAUAGAACACCAAUGGCGAAGGCAGUCACUUGGUCCAUUACUGACGCUAAAGCACGAAAGCGUGGGUAGCAAACA